GCCUAAAAGCCAGCCAACUAAAUUUACCAAUAUCACCACCAACUAAGAUCAAAACAUUUAUCUAGGCCAGUAAAUGAGAUUAAAACCCACCACAGGCCUUACAAGUACCGCAAGGGAACAUUGAAAGAACAAUGAAAACUCUAAGCAUAAAAAAGCAAAGAUAAACCCCUGUACCUUUUGCAUCAUGGUUUAGCAAAAACUCCACAGACAAAGAGACCUUUAGCCUGUCCACCCGAAACCAAACGAGCUAUUUUUAGGCAGCUUUUAAUUAGAGCACACCCAUCUCUGUAGCAAAAGGGCGGGAAGACCUAAAAAUAUGAGGCAAAAAACCUACCGAGCUUGGUGAUAGCUGGUUACUCACAAAAGGAUUUUAGUCCAACUUUAAGUAUUACUAGAGAAAACCCCUUAAACUCACCCUAAUACCUAAAGAAAUUCAAUGGGGGUACAACCCCAUUGAACCGGAAUACAGCCCGUACUGAGAGUAAACCUUUCACCCUUUUCCUAUGUGGGCCUCAAAGCAGCCACCAAAGUCAAUGCGUUACAGCACCAACAAAGACAAUCUAAACAUCAAAGUUUUACUCCUAAUUCUUAAGAGUUACCCUAUAUUUAAAUAGAGACACCAAUGCUAAAAUUAGUAAUAAGAAAUAAUCGUUUCUCCCCGCACCCCCUUAAAUCAGAAUAGAAAAACUACUGAUAAUUAACAACCCAACCAACUUACCCCCACCACCAAGCCACAGUGUUAUUCAAGACUUGUUACCCCAACACAGGAGUGCAAAAAGGAAAGACAAAAAGUCAAAAAAGGAACUCGGCAAACCGCAUUCCCAACUGUUUACCAAAAACAUAGCCUUUAGCCCUCCAAGUAUUAAAGGUCCCGCCUGCCCAGUGACUCUUUUAAACGGCCGCGGUAUCCUAACCGUGCAAAGGUAGCAUAAUCACUUGUCUCUUAAAUAGAGACUAGAAUGAACGGCUAAAUGAGGACCCAACUGUCUCUUAUGACUAGUCAAUGAAAUUGAUUUUUCAGUCCAAAAGCUGAAAUUUUCACAUAAGACGAGAAGACCCUGUGGAGCUUAAAAACCAAACUACCAACAUAUUCCCCUGGUUUUUUAGUUGGGGCGACUUCGGAGUACAAAUGAACCUCCAAAAAACAGACCAAGUUUAUGAGAUAUACACAUCAAAACAAACGUCCUAGACCCAGAAACUAUUUUCUGAUUAAUGAACCAAGUUACCCCAGGGAUAACAGCGCCAUCCCCUUCAAGAGUCCAUAUCGACAAGGGGGUUUACGACCUCGAUGUUGGAUCAGGACACCCAAAUAGUGCAGCCGCUAUUAAAGGUUUGUUUGUUCAACAAUUAAAGUCCUACGUGAUCUGAGUUCAGACCGGAGAAAUCCAGGUCGGUUUCUAUCUAUGAGGCACUAUCUUCAGUACGAAAGGACCAAGAUAAUAGGACCCACACUAAAAGGACGUCCUAAUAAUUCACUGCUUACCACUUCUUAAGCAAAACAGGUGCCACCCACCAGUCUAAUUAGACUU
RNAcentral lists this ribosomal RNA (1529 nucleotides) under Takydromus sylvaticus. RNAcentral describes it as "16S ribosomal RNA". It matches the Rfam family "Bacterial large subunit ribosomal RNA", at positions 371 to 2829 of the family's 2925-position model. The record is from RNAcentral. Lineage: Eukaryota; Metazoa; Chordata; Lepidosauria; Squamata; Lacertidae.